RNAcentral lists this long non-coding RNA (459 nucleotides) under Serinus canaria (Common canary). Its description in RNAcentral is "lncRNA (ENSSCAG00000003906.1)". The record is from RNAcentral. Lineage: Eukaryota; Metazoa; Chordata; Aves; Passeriformes; Fringillidae.
CUUCCAACCUCACCUGUUGUGUAAUUCUGUGAAAUGAGUGAAAGAAUUUAGGACAUUUAGACACUGAGGUGAAGUGCUAACCAUACCUGCCUGUGUAAAAGGGAAUGGAAAUGAGUAAUCUUGCUUGAGAAGACACGAAUUAGCCAAGUCAGAUUACAGCAUACUUGAAACUCUGCAAGUUUUGGAGUUUCCAAUCCUGAAUCUUCAAGAGCUGAUUGCUCACAUAAUAUUCCUGUGCAGAGCCUGCCUGCAUUUGAAGUGUACAUCUCCUGUCCAGCCUCCUUCUUUGAGCUCCUUUAGCUGCUGGUAUCAUGCUGAUUUAGUUGGCAUUUCCCACUUGGUCACAGAGGACAGAGAUUAGAUCAGUAUCAGAACAUGGAAACAGAAGUGCUGGAAGAUCACAUGAGGAACCUCAGCACUUUCUGGCAAAUCCUCUCAAAUGUCACAAAGGAGCUGAAG